GGCUAGUCUGAAGGUAGUGAGUUAUCUCAAUUGACUAUUCAGUUAGUUGCAGACCAAACUCUUUGUUCUACUCUUUCCCCUCUUUCCACUACCACACAUGACUAGUCUAAA
Unclassified non-coding RNA from Aotus nancymaae (Ma's night monkey), 111 nucleotides. It matches the Rfam family "Y RNA". From Rfam's summary of the family: Y RNAs are components of the Ro ribonucleoprotein particle (Ro RNP), in association with Ro60 and La proteins. The Y RNAs and Ro60 and La proteins are well conserved, but the function of the Ro RNP is not known. The record is from Ensembl. Lineage: Eukaryota; Metazoa; Chordata; Mammalia; Primates; Aotidae.